AAGCUAUAAGGGAAAACAGCUAAUGAGGUGCUUUCAUUUUUUGAUAUGCAGGAAUUAGUUUUGAAGAGGUGCUGAGCUUAAUGAUUAUGAGACAAUAAUUUUCAGAUUAUGUGGGAAUCAGUACCAACAACACUUUUAACAAAAAGUUUACCAAAUACUAAACUGAUAUAUCUCACGGCUGAUUUCUCUCAUAGCAAAUCUGAAAGCGAAUAUUUUCACAGCACAACAAUGCCAAACUGGCCCUAAAUCAACCCAAAAGAGAAAUAAAUAAUAUAUAUAUAUAAAGCAAAAGGUAGAGAAUGGUGAAACAUUCAAAAUACCAGAAAAUAUCCUUGGUUAAUUUAAAUAUUAAGAAUUGAAAUUAUUAAUUAAAUGAGGAUAAUAAUAUGGUAAAUUCACAUUUUUCAUAUUAAAAAAAUUAAAAUUAAAAAAAAAUCAGAUAAUAUGUCCUACUUUUAUGGAACAUAACUGCUCAUGUUAUUUUUUAUUAUAAAUAAAAUAAAAAAGAAAAAAGAAAACCAGAAAAUGCGAAAGGCAGAGAAUGGUAAAACAUUCAAAAUACCAAAAAAUGCC
This 573-nucleotide long non-coding RNA is filed under the name Prunus persica (peach). RNAcentral describes it as "long non-coding RNA (PPER_LNC004202)". Lineage: Eukaryota; Viridiplantae; Streptophyta; Magnoliopsida; Rosales; Rosaceae. The record is from RNAcentral.